AAUGUAUUUUGAAAUAUUUAUUAGACCAUCUCUAUUUGGGAGUUUCUCAUGAGAGUUUCUCACUAUUAAAAAAUUAAAAAUAAUGAAAUGAAAGAGAGAGAGAAAGUGUAGAAAGUUUCUCACUUGAGAAACUCUUAUAUACUCUCUACAAUCCAUCAUGACAUAGCUCUUUUUACCAUUGGUUCAAUUU
Molecule: small RNA, 190 nt
Filed under: Arabidopsis thaliana (thale cress)
Lineage: Eukaryota; Viridiplantae; Streptophyta; Magnoliopsida; Brassicales; Brassicaceae
Description: ATSL095590
Source: RNAcentral